Phragmites australis (common reed) is the source of this 1203-nucleotide long non-coding RNA. RefSeq lists it as uncharacterized. Lineage: Eukaryota; Viridiplantae; Streptophyta; Magnoliopsida; Poales; Poaceae. The record is from RefSeq and is a predicted model, not a curated record. The transcript has 4 exons.
UUCUAAAUAUUGUUAUCAACGCAGGGUCCUCAUCCUCGACUUCGGCUCGCAGUACACCCACCUCGUCACCCGCCGCGUUCGGCAGUUGGGCGCCCUCUCCCUCUGCGUGUCCGGCACGGCGCCACUCUCCUCCCUCGAGGGACUCCGCCUGCGCGCCGUCGUCCUCUCUGACAGUCCCCACUCCGUAAUCUGGGCCGUCGAUGUGCUAAAUCUAACCCCUGUUUCCUUCCACCGCUGCCCCGCUGCCCUCCGUGGACGCUCGCCUCCUUGCCGACCGAUGUUCUCUGCCCGCCGUCACCCCCGGCGUCGCCUCCCACCACACCGCAUCAGCGUCCUCCACGCACGGACGCCUCCAGUGCUCGAGGCAUCACCCCUCUGGCGGUGCCCAGCACCACCACCUGCCCCUCCACCGUGGAGCUCGGCCCCAGCGGCCUCGCCUCCAGGGAUGACCUCCUCCACGCAUCCAGCUCCGCGGAGCGAGUGGGCCAACCGGCUUCACGCCACCCCUCCCCUGCUGCUCCACACCGCUGCAUCACCGCGUUGCGGCUCCGUGAUAUAGGUCCCCACCGCCCAUGCCCCCCCCCCCCCCCGACAUGUAUGCCGAUCUGCAUUAGGGGGCGCUGCACCUGCCCCGUCUUGCACACUGGAGCAGGAGAGGGCGAAGCAUGUUACAAGACGCGCCCAACAGGUUCAGUGCGAGAAGUCCUGGUUUGGGCAGCAUUGACGAGCUUUGAAGCUUGUCUUGGUGCUGGUAUUUCAGCAGGCAGAGUGAUGAGGGCUAUCAUAUACUAAUCGUAGCUAUACAGCUCCAUGUUUGGAAGCAACUCCAUGUCACUGCGAGGAGCUGCACGUGUGUGUAGAGAUGCAGAUUGAUGGUCUUGGCGCUGGCAUUUCAUAAGGCAUGUUUGCCAAAAUCUACAUCACAUUUGACAGUCCCGGGCUUCCAUGUCAAAUAUCUCUUUCCAUGCUGGUGUCAGUUGAAGAUGGCUAGAAGGGAAGUAAUCAAGUUCGACCAACCUGAAAGAUUGGAUUUGUAGGGUUUGGACUUUGGAUUCAGUUUCAUGAAAUCAUACUGCCACUAAAGUGUGAGUUGGAGUCAGUUUUAUGUAGAUGAGAAACUGUAAUAUGUUUGUAUUGAGAUAUAUUUUUCAGUGAGCUAUCCAUAUUUCUGCAUUGGAAUGAAAAUGUGAGUGCAUGGACGAU